This 281-nucleotide ribosomal RNA is filed under the name uncultured bacterium. Its description in RNAcentral is "partial 16S ribosomal RNA". It matches the Rfam family "Bacterial small subunit ribosomal RNA", at positions 525 to 806 of the family's 1533-position model. The record is from RNAcentral.
ACGUAGGUGGCGAGCGUUAUUCGGAAUCAUUGGGCGUAAAGAGGGAGCAGGCGGCAGUGCAGGUCUGCGGUGAAAGCCCGAAGCUAAACUUCGGUAAGCCGUGGAAACCGCACAGCUAGAGUGCAGUAGAGGAUCGUGGAAUUCCAUGUGUAGCGGUGAAAUGCGUAGAUAUAUGGAGGAACACCAGUGGCGAAGGCGACGAUCUGGGCUGUAACUGACGCUCAGUCCCGAAAGCGUGGGGAGCAAAUAGGAUUAGAUAUCCUAGUAGUCCACGCAGUAAA